UCGAGACAGUUUCAUCUGCAGCUGAUACCUCAAUCACGACAAAGGAUCUUAACAGCGAAGAUAAUUCAAUUCCACCUAAUUCAAGGCUUCAAGUUGGUGGCUCUGAAUGUGGCACUGAACUUUCUAUUACUUCUACUCUUGAUUCACCUGAUAUAUCCGAAGUUGGAGCCAUGGAAUUUGACAAUGAAGCCAAAGUCUCAGAAGAAGUGAUUUGCAAUCUCAACAGCACUGGAGGCCUUGAUGUUGAAUCCAAGGAUGUGUCCACCAUCGCAGUGUCUAAUUUAUCUGACACUAUGUUGGCUCCACCAGAGAAACGUGAUGCUGUUAAUGGUGAACCUGUUAAUUCAGUUGUAGAUGUGGACUCCUCACAGGUAAAGCAGAAGCCAGAGAGAACUGCAUCUGAUCUGCAGAUAGAACUGGACCCUCAGACAGGCCGUCAAGCAUACAGGUCAUCACCAGAAGCUUCUCCAAGGAGCCACAUCACUGUUCCCGAGUCCCAAGGAACACCUUCCAGCCAGGUAUCAGUGAAAGCUAAAAGGAGCAAAACUGAUAAAAGUGGGUCCAACCAAAAGCGUGCAUCUCUGUCAGCAGGUAAGAGAUCCCCUUCAAAUCCAAACCAUGAUUCUGGUGCAAGGAGUAGCAUGGAACAAUUGCCUAAAGAUCAGAAAACUGGGAAGAGACGCAAUUCUUUUGGUUCAACAAGACCUGAUAAUGUUGAUCAGGAACCGAGAGAUAGUAGUAGCAGUAAUUCUCUGCCCAGUUACAUGCAAGCCACAGAGUCUGCAAGAGCCAAGCUCCAUGCAAAUAACUCUCCCAGAUCAAGUCCAGAUGUGCAAGACAAGGACAUUUACAUCAAGAAGAGGCACUCCCUGCCUGGUGCAAAUGGAAGGCAGGGAUCUCCUCG
Molecule: long non-coding RNA, 904 nt
Filed under: Vitis vinifera (wine grape)
Lineage: Eukaryota; Viridiplantae; Streptophyta; Magnoliopsida; Vitales; Vitaceae
Description: long non-coding RNA (VVIN_LNC006083)
Source: RNAcentral